This 253-nucleotide ribosomal RNA is filed under the name uncultured bacterium. Its description in RNAcentral is "partial 16S ribosomal RNA". It matches the Rfam family "Bacterial small subunit ribosomal RNA", at positions 524 to 776 of the family's 1533-position model. The record is from RNAcentral.
UACGUAGGUGGCAAGCGUUGUCCGGAUUUAUUGGGUUUAAAGGGUGCGUAGGCGGUUCUAUAAGUCAGUGGUGAAAUCCGGCAGCUCAACUGUCGAUGUGCCAUUGAUACUGCAGAACUUGAGUACAGACGAGGUAGGCGGAAUUGACGGUGUAGCGGUGAAAUGCUUAGAUAUCGUCAAGAACACCGAUAGCGAAGGCAGCUUACUAGGCUGUAACUGACGCUGAUGCACGAAAGUGUGGGGAUCAAACAGG